AGCGAACGCUGGCGGCAGGCUUAACACAUGCAAGUCGAGCGGGCCCUUCGGGGUCAGCGGCGGACGGGUGAGUAACGCGUGGGAACGUGCCUUCUGGUUCGGAAUAACCCUGGGAAACUAGGGCUAAUACCGGAUACGCCCUUUUGGGGGAAGGUUUACUGCCGGAAGAUCGGCCCGCGUCUGAUUAGCUAGUUGGUGGGGUAACGGCCUACCAAGGCGACGAUCAGUAGCUGGUCUGAGAGGAUGAUCAGCCACACUGGGACUGAGACACGGCCCAGACUCCUACGGGAGGCAGCAGUGGGGAAUAUUGGACAAUGGGCGCAAGCCUGAUCCAGCCAUGCCGCGUGAGUGAUGAAGGCCUUAGGGUUGUAAAGCUCUUUUAUCCGGGACGAUAAUGACGGUACCGGAGGAAUAAGCCCCGGCUAACUUCGUGCCAGCCGCCGCCGUAA
RNAcentral lists this ribosomal RNA (449 nucleotides) under uncultured bacterium. RNAcentral describes it as "partial 16S ribosomal RNA". It matches the Rfam family "Bacterial small subunit ribosomal RNA", at positions 29 to 523 of the family's 1533-position model. The record is from RNAcentral.